Long non-coding RNA from Ochotona curzoniae (black-lipped pika), 526 nucleotides. RefSeq lists it as uncharacterized. NCBI's taxonomy places the organism in Eukaryota, Metazoa, Chordata, Mammalia, Lagomorpha, Ochotonidae. The transcript has 3 exons. The record is from RefSeq and is a predicted model, not a curated record.
AAAGAACGUUCUGUUGCAGCGAUGGCCGCCACCGAGCCAGGGAGUUGGCGGUUUCUGCCUUCUGGAGCGUUUUGGGGGGUUCUCUUGCCUUUGGAAGGCCGCCCAGAACCCGUACAGAUGGCAAACAACCUGAUUUAGACUAGAUGGCAUGACAGUCAUGGCUUCUUCACACUGACACACCAUUUUUUAAUUCUUACUUCUACCAAGGAACAAACCGUAACUUAUCAAUUGAGUGAAAAAGGAGAACUAACAGGAUUAGACAGCUGAUCUUAAAGGCAAGUAAAGUGCAACCCUUUGAACUGGAUUUAAAUAAAGAAGAGAGAAGACACAGCUGUCAAAAAUGUUCUACUAUACAGUCAAAGGUGUCGACUCUGUGACCCCGAGAAUUAAGCAUGACAGCGCUUGGAAAAAUUCCUACCUUUCAUGAAACAUCCCACUUUUGGAAUUUUUUUUCAUUAUGUUGAAAAGUAUCUGUGAUUUAAUCACAAAAAUGUAUUGAAAUAAUAAAAAUGACCUUAAAAUUGAA